GUGGGUAAGAGUGCUUGCUUUGCAAGCAUGAGGAUCUGAGUUCAAGUCCUCAGUACCCACA
Molecule: transfer RNA, 61 nt
Filed under: Neotoma lepida (desert woodrat)
Lineage: Eukaryota; Metazoa; Chordata; Mammalia; Rodentia; Cricetidae
Rfam family: tRNA
About the family: Transfer RNA (tRNA) molecules are approximately 80 nucleotides in length. Their secondary structure includes four short double-helical elements and three loops (D, anti-codon, and T loops).
Source: Rfam by way of RNAcentral